This 399-nucleotide ribosomal RNA is filed under the name Sarocladium strictum. RNAcentral describes it as "partial small subunit ribosomal RNA". It matches the Rfam family "Eukaryotic small subunit ribosomal RNA", at positions 30 to 432 of the family's 1831-position model. The record is from RNAcentral. Lineage: Eukaryota; Fungi; Ascomycota; Sordariomycetes; Hypocreales; Sarocladiaceae.
GCUUGUCUCAAAGAUUAAGCCAUGCAUGUCUAAGUAUAAACAAAUCUAUACUGUGAAACUGCGAAUGGCUCAUUAUAUCAGUUAUAGUUUCUUUGAUGGUUCUUACUACUUGGAUAACCGUAGUAAUUCUAGAGCUAAUACAUGCAUGAACCCCCGACUUUUGAAGGGGUGUAUUUAUUAGAUACAAAACCAAUGCCCUUCGGGGCUCCUUGGUGAUUCAUGAUAACUAUACGAAUCGCACGGCCUUGCGCCGGCGAUGGUUCAUUCAAAUUUCUUCCCUAUCAACUUUCGAUGUUUGGGUAUUGGCCAAACAUGGUUGCAACGGGUAACGGAGGGUUAGGGCUCGACCCCGGAGAAGGAGCCUGAGAAACGGCUACUACAUCCAAGGAAGGCAGCAGG